CGUUGUUUGGCCCUAUAAAAAUGCGUCACUCCGUGUGCGUCUUCCAUCUCGGAUGCGCCAUCAUCCCUGCUCCUUCACUCCUGACACCCCUUCCGUCGAACACAAUGUGAGCUCUGCCCUGUUGGUGUCUGAUGAAGCGCCGCCGACGGCACCGUGGAGUGCCUAGGGUUCUAUCAUAGGCCGCUCGCAGGUCAUGGGCCCGCGCGACUCCGCAGCAUCGUGAUCCUCCAGCGCGGGCGUGCCGCCGCCAUCAAGACGAACCGGCGCCGCCUUCGGUCGCUGUCACCGCAGGUAGCGGCAGCAUGUACGCAUCAGGAGCGGGCGCCUCUUCUUUCGUGCUCUCGCUAGAUCCUCCCAGCAGCAAGUCACCCUCUCCACCACGCCCUUUUCCUGCGGACUACGGGAGUCAAAUGCUAGCUGGCCCUUGAUCUGAAUGAACAGACCUGCAACCGGUGCUUGAUACGGAAGCAUGAAUAGUGCAAGAGCUAGCAAAGUCACCGAUCGCCAUACAGAAUGCCAACGUGGGAAGGUGGAAGCACAAAUAGAAGCAGUGUGAAGCUGCUAUUUUUUCCUCGCCGGCUACAGAUCAAGCGUCUUGGUCAGCGAUGUGUUACAUACGUUAUUUCUCCAGCACAAGUUCUCCCAAUCAGCACAGGUUUGGCGACGCCCCCCUUUCGUUGUCCUCUCGACGGCGGGAUUACUUCCGUCUCUGGUGCAGCGACGACGUUCGGUGAUUGUUUCUCGCCUUCAGAAGAUAAGCUCUCAAAGCACAAGACUCUCUUCAGCUUACUGAAAACUACUUACUGAAAACUUUCUUACGCACAAAACUUCUUGCGGAUAUGUAAACAUGAACUGACAGGACAACUUCAUAAUCUUGCACGUUUUUAACUUAGGACCUACUAUU
Molecule: long non-coding RNA, 904 nt
Organism: Triticum aestivum (bread wheat)
Lineage: Eukaryota; Viridiplantae; Streptophyta; Magnoliopsida; Poales; Poaceae
Exons: 2
Source: RefSeq, a predicted model, not a curated record